RNAcentral lists this long non-coding RNA (818 nucleotides) under Androctonus crassicauda. The record is from RNAcentral. Lineage: Eukaryota; Metazoa; Arthropoda; Arachnida; Scorpiones; Buthidae.
GUAUUUAUUACAUUCCUAGUAAUAUAUGAUUUCUUACAAUGAUGAUAAAAUAUUUAAAUUUUUUAUAAAUAAUGGAAAUUUUUCAUUUUUUUUGCUGUUACAGUAUAGAAUAAUUGUCAAUACAGUGAGGUAUGCUACAACGAAAGAUGCUAUAAUGAAUGAAUGCUACAAUGAACAGUUUUAUCAAUAAACAUAGGAUGCUACAAUGAACACAGACGCUACUACGAAUGCAAGAGAAAAUAAUAGUUUGACUUAGGCCGGAUUCACACUGGCCAGCAAUUGCAAUCACGACUGACGGCUUGCGACAGAGCAUGCACACUGAAAAUGACCGGCUUCACGAUUUUUUGAAUCGACCAAUAGGAGCUGCGUUAACAGCAUCCAAUAAGAGAUUGCAUUUUUCUUCCACAUUUUUGAAUCUUCGUGCACGUUGUCGUGAAACGAAAAUACAUACGCAAUCAAAUGUCUCCUUUCUAUUGACUAUCAUAAUGACAUAUCCGUUGCUAUCGCCACACUAUUCGGCAAAUUGAAUAUUGUCGUGGUCGCAGCGAUGAGUCGCGAAGCGGGUCCUGAUGGGGUUGUUUCCAUAGCAGCAGUCGCGAGGCCAGUGUGAAUACAGUUUAAUACGAUUAAACGUUAUUUACGUUUGAUGCAUUUUCUAUUAAAUCACUUCAAUUUUUCACAUAAUCUAUUAAAAAAUGCAGUUUUAAACUGAAUCAAUUUUUUGUCCGUUUUUAAAUUACUAUACGACGAAAAUAUUUUUCCUGACCCUUUCAUAACAGUUUAUUUGCAACAUAAAAUUUCUAUCGAUCGUAUAUAAC